This 497-nucleotide ribosomal RNA is filed under the name uncultured bacterium. Its description in RNAcentral is "partial 16S ribosomal RNA". It matches the Rfam family "Bacterial small subunit ribosomal RNA", at positions 28 to 507 of the family's 1533-position model. The record is from RNAcentral.
GACGAACGCUGGCGGCGUGCCUAAUACAUGCAAGUCGAACGAACGGAUAAAGAGCUUGCUCUUUUGAAGUUAGUGGCGGACGGGUGAGUAACACGUGGGUAACCUGCCUCACAGCUGGGGAUAACAUCGAGAAAUCGAUGCUAAUACCGAAUGUGCUGAACAUCAUAAGAUGUUCAAGUGAAAGACGGUUUCGGCUGUCACUGUGAGAUGGACCCGCGCUGGAUUAGCUAGUUGGUAAGGUAAUGGCUUACCAAGGCGACGAUCCAUAGCCGACCUGAGAGGGUGAUCGGCCACAUUGGGACUGAGACACGGCCCAAACUCCUACGGGAGGCAGCAGUAGGGAAUCUUCGGCAAUGGACGAAAGUCUGACCGAGCAACGCCGCGUGAGCGAAGAAGGCCUUCGGGUCGUAAAGCUCUGUUGUUAGAGAAGAACAUGGGUGAGAAUAACUGUUCACCCCUUGACGGUAUCUAACCAGAAAGCCACGGCUAACUACGUG